CCCUAGCCCUGAUUGCAACGAAAAUCCCGCAGUGGAGCGGCGGAGCCUUUCAACAGGUUCAAGACAGGCCAAGGUGAAGCCGCGUAAUGAGGAAUUGCAGUGGAAAGCAGGUUCCCGG
RNAcentral lists this unclassified non-coding RNA (118 nucleotides) under Chryseobacterium sp. RU37D. Its description in RNAcentral is "Flavo-1 RNA". The record is from RNAcentral. Lineage: Bacteria; Pseudomonadati; Bacteroidota; Flavobacteriia; Flavobacteriales; Weeksellaceae.